Molecule: ribosomal RNA, 500 nt
Filed under: Bacillus pumilus
Lineage: Bacteria; Bacillati; Bacillota; Bacilli; Caryophanales; Bacillaceae
Description: bacterial SSU rRNA
Rfam family: Bacterial small subunit ribosomal RNA
Source: RNAcentral
UUCUCAAAGGAAUUGACGGGGGCCCCCACAAGGGGUGGACCAUGUGAGUUUCAUUCGAAGCAACGGGAAGAACCUUACCGGGUCCUGACAUCCUCUGACACCCCUAGAGAUAGGGUUUUCCCUUCGGGGACGGAGUGACAGGUGGUGCAUGGUUGUCCUCCGCUCGUGGCGGGAGAUGUUGGGUUAAGUCCCGCAACGAGCGCAACCCUUGAUCUUAGUUGCCUGUAUUUAGUGGGACACUCUAAGGUGACUGCCGGUGACAAACCGGAGGAAGGGGGGGAUGACGUCAAAUCCUCGUGCCCCUUAUGACCUGGGCUACACACGUGCUACAAUGGACAGAACAAAGGGCUGCGAGACCGCAAGGUUUAGCCAAUCCCAUAAAUCUGUUCUCAGUUCGGAUCGCAGUCUGCAACUCCACUGCGUGAAGCUGGAAUCGUUAGUAAUCCCGGAUAAACAAGCCGGGGUGAUUAUUUUUGCGGCUCUAUGAAAAAACAUCCGAG